This is a long non-coding RNA of Brassica oleracea var. oleracea, 1822 nucleotides long. RefSeq lists it as uncharacterized. The record is from RefSeq and is a predicted model, not a curated record. The transcript has 9 exons. NCBI's taxonomy places the organism in Eukaryota, Viridiplantae, Streptophyta, Magnoliopsida, Brassicales, Brassicaceae.
CCUACGCUUCAUCAAUCUACUCUGCAAUUUAAUUUUCUUAAAUGGUUUCGUUCCACUUCCCCUCUUCGUCCUUCUAUAUAAAGUGUUCAAUCUGAUCUUCAGUGCACCCUAAUCGAAAACAUUAGGUGUUCGAUUACUGUAUCCAGGAUCUCCUGUUCAUUGAUGAAGAGGAAAAAAAUAUAACAAUGAAAGUAAGAUCGUACGGAGAUUUAGAACCUCCGCUGCAGCUGAAGAAAUCAUAAGCCGGUUCACUUUUUUAACACAGCUCCUCAACAAUGGGAACUUUGUAGACGCUGCUUCUGGUAAGACGUUGCCUACUCUUGAUCCACGCAUAGGGGGAGUUAUUGCGAACAUAGCUGAAAGUCGAUGCUGAAGAUAUAGACCGGGCGGUGAAAGCCACAAGCCUGCAAGGAAGGCCAUUGAUGAAGGACCAUGGCAAAAGAUAAUUGCUUAUGAACAGCGAAAAUAUAGAGACAUGGGACGAUGGGAAGACUUAUGAACAAGCCAAAACAGCAGAGAUUCCAAUGCUCGCCAGAUUCUUUCGCUAUUAUGCUGGUAUACCAAAAUCUUGAGAAUACUAUCAAAUUUUCAUGCUUUUGUUGGUAAGUUUUGGUUUGAUGUGUAGGAUGGCCAGAUAAGAUUUGUGGGCUAACUAUUCCAGCCGACGGAAACAAUCAUGUCCAGACACUGCAUGAACCAAUAGGCAUUGCUGGUCAGACCAUUCCAUGGAACUUUCCACUUCUGAUGUUUCUUUGGAAAGUUGUUCCUACUCUUGCUUGUGGUAACACCAUUGUCCUCAAAAAGCUGAACAAACUCAAGCUUUUCUUUGAAGCAUGUCUUUCUCAAACAACACCUCCUGUUCUGUGGGUUGUAGUGAGGUGGAACCAUCCAUAAAGCUACUGUUGCAUACCUACUAUUGGACUCGCAUCUUAUAAGCUCAAAGUAUCUUUGUGGAACCAAAACAGAGCUCAAGAGUGCCACAAGCUCUCUUCUUUGCAACAAGCUGCAAAUAAAUGGCUUGAGCGUCUGCAAGUCGACCAGCCGGACUACAAUUUCUUCAUCUGCAGCAUCCCGCCAAUGAGGGGAAAACAUAUAAUUUACCUUCAAUUUGGCUCUGGUCUGAACAAAAGACCCAUUAUCUGCUAUUCUACUUUACAUAUUGCUUACACUGAAGGGAUUUGAGGAGCACAUUGUGAAGGUUGCGUAUGGUGCCGUAACAUUGAGAUGCAACACUUUUUGUGCUGGCAUUGAAAAGAACAACACCUGCUCAUGAAUGGCCUGGACAUAGUUCUGUGAUGGCUGAAGGACAAACAGGCCCACCAAUGAGCCAAUAGAGCCACCUGUUUCUGCUGGUUACAAUGGAGAUGAAGAUCUGUCACUGUAGUGGAAGGGCGCUCUGCCAAGAAUACUCGCACCGACUAAGUGUUAGCACCCGGUUUGAUUGGGACUCUUAACUGUCUUCCAAGAUUCGACACCAAGCUUGCAAACUCCGACAUCAAUGGCCUUCCACAAAGCUUGGAUCUCUCGCUAUUGCAGUGGGUGCAUAUGAUGUAGGGAAACUGAAUUUGGAGCUUGAGGUUCGAAUGAUAAGUGUCUUCAUUCAGCUUGGUUUUGAGGACCAAUCAGACACUGACAUACUUCUGUGCAAGGUCUUCAUCAAGAUAUCCAUAGGAUAGGAAUGACAAAGAAGGACAAAAGAAUCUGAAGUUUGGCAGUAUAAUCCAAGAUGCUGUAAAGGAUCUUUCUGAUGUUGUUCUUUUUUUUUUCUAUUAAUUUGUUAGCCAGAUAAUUUCGUGCGUAUGUCGUAUGAUGAUAACAUUUA